RNAcentral lists this ribosomal RNA (445 nucleotides) under uncultured bacterium. RNAcentral's name for it is "partial 16S ribosomal RNA". It matches the Rfam family "Bacterial small subunit ribosomal RNA", at positions 354 to 796 of the family's 1533-position model. The record is from RNAcentral.
GUGAGGAAUAUUGGUCAAUGGGCGAGAGCCUGAACCAGCCAAGUCGCGUGAAGGAUGAAGGUUUUAUGAAUUGUAAACUUCUUUUGCAGGGGAAUAAAGUACGGUACGUGUACCGUUUUGUAUGUACUCUGCGAAUAAGGAUCGGCUAACUCCGUGCCAGCAGCCGCGGUAAUACGGAGGAUCCAAGCGUUAUCCGGAUUUAUUGGGUUUCAAGGGUGCGCAGGCGGGUUGAUAUGUCAGCGGUGAAAGUUUGCAGCUUAACUGUAAAAUUGCCGUUGAAAGUGUCGAUAUUGAGUGCAAAUGAGGUAAGCGGAAUGUGUUGUGUAGCGGUGAAAUGCUUAGAUAUAACACAGAACACCGAUUGCGAAGGCAGCUUACUGGGAUGCAACUGACGCUCAUGCACGAAAGCGUGGGGAUCAAACAGGAUUAGAAACCCCAGUAGUCC